UUAUUAUAUAUUUAAUUAUAUUUGUUUAUUUAUAUAUAUAUAUUAGAAAUAACUAUUAACCUUAGUAUAUUUUAUAAAAAAGGUAUUGAUUAAUAUAUUUAUAGUUUAUUUUACUGUGAAGGAUAUUAAUUAAUUAUAUUAUAAGUAUUUUUUGUUUAUUGUACCUUUUGCAUCAGGGUUUAUCAAUUUAUAUUUAUUAGUUAUAAAUUAUCCCGAAAUUAGAAGAGAUAAUUAAUUUUGUUAGUUAUUAUUUUAUAAAUAUUAAUAAAAUUUAAUUAGGAAAUAUAUUUCAUUCAUUUCUAAAUAUCUGGUUUUUUAAUAAAUGAAUUUAAUUCAGGAUUAUUUUAUAUUAUAAAUAAAUUAAAUUAUUUUGUAAUUAUGAAUAAUCUAAUAUAAUAGGGGAUAAGCUCUUUUAUAUUUUUAUAAUUUAUUUAUUUAUUGGUAAGUUAUAUAGGUUUAGUAAUGGCCAUUAUUUAUUUUGUUAUAAUUAUUUUUGCUAUUUUAUUUAUUUAAUUUAAAUUUAAAUUGUUAUUAAAACACUUAAUUAAAUUAUAAUUUUAAGGUGAUAUUGAUAAAAUUAGUAAUUAUUUGGAAAUUAAUAUAUAGGAACUCGGCAAUAAUUACGUUUGCCUGUUUAUCAAAAACAUGUCUUGAUGUAAUUGAUUUCAAGUCGGACCUGCUCAAUGAUUACCUUUAUAGGGUAUUAAAUAGCCGCAGUAUUUUGACUGUGCGAAGGUAGCAUAAUCAUUUGUCUUUUAAUUGUAGGCUUGUAUGAAUGGUUUAACAAAAUGUAAUCUUUCUUUAUAUUAAUAUUAUGAAUUUAAUUUUUGAGUUAAAAAGCUUAAAUUUAUUUAUAGGACGAGAAGACCCUGUAGAAUUUUACUUAAUAUGUAUUAUUUUAAUUUUGGUUAUUUAUUUUAUUUUAUUUUAUAUUAAGUUUUAUUGGGGCGAUAGGGAAAUUUUAUUAACUUUCUUUUUUUAUUUAUUAUUAAUUUGUAUAUUAUUGAUCCUUAUUUUGGAUAAAAAGAUUAAAUUACCUCAGGGAUAACAGCGUAAUUUCUUUUGAGAGUUCAAAUCGAUAAAGGAGUUUGCGACCUCGAUGUUGGAUUAAAAUUAGUAUAGGGUGCAGUAGCUCUAAUAUUAGGUCUGUUCGACCUUUAAAAUUUUACAUGAUCUGAGUUCAGACCGGCGUGAGCCAGGUUGGUUUCUAUCCUUAAAAUAUAUUUACAUUUUAGUACGAAAGGACCAUAUGUUAAAUUAAAUUAGUUUUAUUAUGAUUUAUAUUAAUAUUAU
Molecule: ribosomal RNA, 1293 nt
Filed under: Poecilocoris nepalensis
Lineage: Eukaryota; Metazoa; Arthropoda; Insecta; Hemiptera; Scutelleridae
Description: 16S ribosomal RNA
Rfam family: Bacterial large subunit ribosomal RNA (bases 856-1213)
Source: RNAcentral